UUGUGUUUUUUUUUUGGUUUAAUUUUGUUUUCCUUUCGAGAUUUUUAUUAAUACUUAAAAUUUUCAAAAUAAUAUUUGUGUAUUAUAGUUUAUGUUCAAAACUCUUGAUAUAACAUUGAUAAUAUAUGUUACAUAUAUCUAUUUACAUACAUAAACACCGAUGAGCAAGUAUUUGUCACUACAUUAUAAUAUUGUUAAUACUAUAAUUGUUAAGAAAAACGUUUAAAAAUAGAUAACAUAAAAUCGUGAUAUAACAUUCGAUAAAACUACAAUCAAAUAAAUUAUGUUUUUUUAAACAAUUAUAAUCAAAAUAAUUAAAGCUAUAUUGUCAAUGAUAGAUUUAAGGGGCAUUUAAAUUAAAUAAAUAAUAAAUAAAUAAAUAAAUAUCUACACAAUACAAACACGGUCGUCUGUUCCUAAAGUAAGCAACUCAAUGCUUGUGUUAUAGGUAACAGCCG
This 458-nucleotide unclassified non-coding RNA is filed under the name Melitaea cinxia (Glanville fritillary). Its description in RNAcentral is "misc RNA ENSMCXG00005002447.1". The record is from RNAcentral. Lineage: Eukaryota; Metazoa; Arthropoda; Insecta; Lepidoptera; Nymphalidae.